Molecule: long non-coding RNA, 626 nt
Filed under: Vombatus ursinus (common wombat)
Lineage: Eukaryota; Metazoa; Chordata; Mammalia; Diprotodontia; Vombatidae
Description: lncRNA (ENSVURG00010015609.1)
Source: RNAcentral
UUUUUUUUUAAACUUCACUGCUCUGAGUCAGAAGCCAGAAUGGAUGUCCUACUUGUAGUCAUAGCUGCUGUGCCGCUCAUCUUGGGACAAGAAUAUGAGGAAGAACAAAUAUAUGAAGGAAUAUAUGAAGAUUAUCAGGUGGUCUAUUACACAGUCACUCCAUAUUACGAUGACUUUGGAGUCAACUUUACCCUUGACUAUUCCCAAUUUGAGGAGGAGGAUAGAAUGAGCAUUGAGAAACAAACUAUAACUCAAGCAGGAGACAGGAAGGUUAAUCCUGAGAAAAAACUUCCAGACAAUGGCAUACAGAAGACAACAGAAAAAGCCAGUACUCAGUCCACUACACCAAAGGAGAGAUUAUACACAGAGAAGAACUGGGGCCAAGAAGGAAAAGAAGAUGGCCCCAGGGACAGAAAAGAAUCUACCACAGAGGCACCUUCAGCUAUGGAUGCUGCUGUGCCCACUCUGCAGCAUCACCUCCCACUCCUCCUUCUGCCCUGGGUUCUGCUGAGGUGGAUAUUGCUACUUUAGAAGGAGAGAGAAGGCUGCCAUGACUUCUUUGAAAAGGGGGUGGGGGGGGAGUGGAGUGCAGAAACUGGAAAAAGAAAUAAAUAAUUGAACCACAA